GGGAAGGUUCGGGACAGGCGUGCUGUCUGUACGGGGCAUAGGGGGGCAGUUAGAGAGGGAGGUACGGGGAAGGUUCAGGACAGGCGUGCUGUCUGUACGGGGCACAGGGGGGCAGUUAGAGAGGGAGGUACAGGGGGAAGGUUCAGGACAGGCGUGCUGUCUGUACGGGGCACAGGGGGGCAGUUAGAGAGGGAGGUACGGGGAAGGUUCAGGACAGGCGUGCUGUCUGUACGGGACACAAGGAGGCAGUUAGAGAGGGAGGUAUGGGGGAAGGUUCAGAACCAGCGUGCUGUCUGUAUGGGGCACAGGGAGGCAGUUAGAGAGGGAGGUACAGAGGGAAGGUUCGGGACAGGCGUGCUGUCUGUAUGGGGCACAGGGAGGCAGUUAGAGAGGGAGGUACAGAGGGAAGGUUCGGGACAGGCGUGCUGUCUGUAUGGGGCACAGGGAGGCAGUUAGAGAGGGAGGUACAGAGGGAAGGUUCGGGACAGGCGUGCUGUCUGUACGGGGCACAGGGAGGCAGUUAGAGAGGGAGGUACAGAGGGAAGGUUCGG
Gopherus flavomarginatus (Mexican gopher tortoise) is the source of this 551-nucleotide long non-coding RNA. RefSeq lists it as uncharacterized. The record is from RefSeq and is a predicted model, not a curated record. The transcript is spliced from 4 exons. NCBI's taxonomy places the organism in Eukaryota, Metazoa, Chordata, Testudines, Testudinidae.